RNAcentral lists this transfer RNA (74 nucleotides) under Pelecanus crispus (Dalmatian pelican). It matches the Rfam family "tRNA". From Rfam's summary of the family: Transfer RNA (tRNA) molecules are approximately 80 nucleotides in length. Their secondary structure includes four short double-helical elements and three loops (D, anti-codon, and T loops). Lineage: Eukaryota; Metazoa; Chordata; Aves; Pelecaniformes; Pelecanidae. The record is from Rfam by way of RNAcentral.
GCCGGGUUAGCUCUGUUGGUUAGAACAUGGUGCUAAUAACACCAAGUUCACAGGUUCAAUCCCUGCUUACUGCA